RNAcentral lists this long non-coding RNA (203 nucleotides) under Phoenix dactylifera (date palm). RNAcentral's name for it is "long non-coding RNA (PDAC_LNC010620)". The record is from RNAcentral. Lineage: Eukaryota; Viridiplantae; Streptophyta; Magnoliopsida; Arecales; Arecaceae.
GAGAGACAAAACAAUCACAAACACAAUAUUUUAUAGUGGUUCGGAGCUAACCCUUGCUCCUACGUCCACUCCCCAAGUCUCACUUGGGAAUUCACUAUAACCCCUUGGAUUACAGCCGGUUGUUUUACAAGCUCACAACCAAACUUGUUGUUUUACGAGCUCACAACGAACUCGGUCGGUUUUCCCUGGCUCACCGACUAGAA